RNAcentral lists this ribosomal RNA (383 nucleotides) under uncultured eukaryote. Its description in RNAcentral is "partial 18S ribosomal RNA". It matches the Rfam family "Eukaryotic small subunit ribosomal RNA", at positions 592 to 976 of the family's 1831-position model. The record is from RNAcentral.
CAAUAGCGUGUAUUAAAGUUGUUGCAGUUAAAAAGCUCGUAGUUGGAUUUCUGGUGGGAGCGAUCGGUCUGGCGCUUAGCGCGAGUACUUGCAUCGUCUCCGGCCAUCCUUGGGGAAAGUCUGUCUGGCAUUAAGUUGUCGGGCAGAGGAUCCUCAUCGUUUACUGUGAAAAAAUUAGAGUGUUCAAAGCAGGCUUAUGCCGUUGAAUAUAUUAGCAUGGAAUAAUAAGAUAGGACUUUGGUACUAUUUUGUUGGUUUGCGCACCAAAGUAAUGAUUAAUAGGGACAGUUGGGGGUAUUCGUAUUCCGUUGUCAGAGGUGAAAUUCUUGGAUUUACGGAAGACGAACUACUGCGAAAGCAUUUACCAAGGAUGUUUUCAUUAA